RNAcentral lists this ribosomal RNA (448 nucleotides) under uncultured bacterium. Its description in RNAcentral is "partial 16S ribosomal RNA". It matches the Rfam family "Bacterial small subunit ribosomal RNA", at positions 328 to 792 of the family's 1533-position model. The record is from RNAcentral.
GGUCCAGACUCCUACGGGAGGCAGCAGUCGGGAAUAUUGCGCAAUGGAGGAAACUCUGACGCAGUGACGCCGCGUGCAGGAAGAAGGUUUUCGGAUUGUAAACUGCUUUAGACAGGGAAGAUACAAGACAGUACCUGUAAAAUAAGCUCCGGCUAACUACGUGCCAGCAGCCGCGGUAAUACGUAGGGAGCAAGCGUUAUCCGGAUUUAUUGGGUGUAAAGGGUGCGUAGACGGGAAGGCAAGUUGGUUGUGAAAUCCCUCGGCUUAACUGAGGAACUGCAACCAAAACUAUCUUUCUUGAGUGCUGGAGAGGAAAGUGGAAUUCCUAGUGUAGCGGUGAAAUGCGUAGAUAUUAGGAGGAACACCAGUGGCGAAGGCGGCUUUCUGGACUGAAACUGACGCUGAGGCACGAAAGCGUGGGGAGCGAACAGGAUUAGAUACCCCAGUA